This 371-nucleotide ribosomal RNA is filed under the name uncultured bacterium. RNAcentral's name for it is "bacterial SSU rRNA". It matches the Rfam family "Bacterial small subunit ribosomal RNA", at positions 527 to 896 of the family's 1533-position model. The record is from RNAcentral.
GUAGGGUGCGAGCGUUAAUCGGAAUUACUGGGCGUAAAGCGUGCGCAGGCGGCUUUUUAAGCCAGAUGUGAAAUCCCCGGGCUUAACCUGGGAACUGCAUUUGGAACUGGAAGGCUAGAGUGUAGCAGAGGGGGGUAGAAUUCCACGUGUAGCAGUGAAAUGCGUAGAGAUGUGGAGGAAUACCGAUGGCGAAGGCAGCCCCCUGGGCUAACACUGACGCUCAUGCACGAAAGCGUGGGGAGCAAACAGGAUUAGAUACCCUGGUAGUCCACGCCCUAAACGAUGUCAACUAGGUGUUGGGGAAGGAGACUUCUUUAGUACCGCAGCUAACGCGUGAAGUUGACCGCCUGGGGAGUACGGUCGCAAGAUUA